This 497-nucleotide ribosomal RNA is filed under the name uncultured bacterium. RNAcentral's name for it is "partial 16S ribosomal RNA". It matches the Rfam family "Bacterial small subunit ribosomal RNA", at positions 28 to 507 of the family's 1533-position model. The record is from RNAcentral.
GAUGAACGCUGGCGGCGUGCCUAAUACAUGCAAGUCGAGCGAACGGACGAGAAGCUUGCUUUUCUGAUGUUAGCGGCGGACGGGUGAGUAACACGUGGAUAACCUACCUAUAAGACUGGGAUAACUUCGGGAAACCGGAGCUAAUACCGGAUAAUAUUUUGAACCGCAUGGUUCAAAAGUGAAAGACGGUCUUGCUGUCACUUAUAGAUGGAUCCGCGCUGCAUUAGCUAGUUGGUAAGGUAACGGCUUACCAAGGCAACGAUGCAUAGCCGACCUGAGAGGGUGAUCGGCCACACUGGAACUGAGACACGGUCCAGACUCCUACGGGAGGCAGCAGUAGGGAAUCUUCCGCAAUGGGCGAAAGCCUGACGGAGCGACGCCGCGUGAGUGAUGAAGGUCUUCGGAUCGUAAAACUCUGUUAUUAGGGAAGAACAUAUGUGCAAGUAACUGUGCACAUCUUGACGGUACCUAAUCAGAAAGCCACGGCUAACUACGUG